This 378-nucleotide ribosomal RNA is filed under the name uncultured bacterium. RNAcentral's name for it is "partial 16S ribosomal RNA". It matches the Rfam family "Bacterial small subunit ribosomal RNA", at positions 338 to 733 of the family's 1533-position model. The record is from RNAcentral.
CCUACGGGUGGCUGCAGUGGGGAAUAUUGGACAAUGGGGGAAACCCUGAUCCAGCGACGCAGCGUGAGUGAAGAAGUAUUUCGGUACGUAAAGCUCUAUCAGCAGGAAAGAAAAUGACGGUACCUGACUGAGAUGCUCCGGCUAACUACGUUCCAGCAGCCGCGGUAAUACGUCGGGGGCAAGCGUUAUUCGGAUUUACUGGGUGUAAAGGGGGCGUAGACGGCAGCGCAAGUCUGGAGUGAAAUGCCGGCGUCCAAACCCGGAACUGCCGUGGAAACUGUGAAGCUUGAGUGCAGGCGGGGUACGUGGAAUUCGUGGUGUAGCGGUGAAAUGCGUAGAUAUCAGGAGGAACACCGGUGGCGAAGGCGGCUUACUGGA